This 254-nucleotide ribosomal RNA is filed under the name uncultured bacterium. RNAcentral's name for it is "partial 16S ribosomal RNA". It matches the Rfam family "Bacterial small subunit ribosomal RNA", at positions 524 to 777 of the family's 1533-position model. The record is from RNAcentral.
UACGUAGGGCGCAAGCGUUAUCCGGAAUUAUUGGGCGUAAAGAGCUCGUAGGCGGUUUGUCGCGUCUGCCGUGAAAGUCCGGGGCUCAACUCCGGAUCUGCGGUGGGUACGGGCAGACUAGAGUGAUGUAGGGGAGACUGGAAUUCCUGGUGUAGCGGUGAAAUGCGCAGAUAUCAGGAGGAACACCGGUGGCGAAGGCGGGUCUCUGGACAGUUCCUGACGCUGAGGCACGAAGGUCAGGGGAGCAAACGGGG